GAUGAACGCUAGCGGCAGGCCUAAUACAUGCAAGUCGAACGGUAAGUAUUUUAGCAAUAGAAUACGAGAGUGACGUACGGGUGCGUAACACGUAUGCAACCUACCCUUUACAGGAGGAUAGCUCGGGGAAACUCGAAUUAACCCUCCAUGAGAUCACAGUGUGGCAUCACACAGUGAUUAAAACUCCGGUGGUAAAGGAUGGGCAUGCGUCUGAUUAGUUAGUUGGCGGGGUAACGGCCCACCAAGACGAUGAUCAGUAGGGGAACUGAGAGGUUGAUCCCCCANACUGGCACUGAGAUACGGGCCAGACUCCUACGGGAGGCAGCAGUAGGGAAUAUUGGUCAAUGGAUGGAAGUCUGAACCAGCCAUGCCGCGUGCAGGAAGAAGGCCUUCUGGGUUGUAAACUGCUUUUGCCAGGGGAUAAAAAGCCAUGCGUGGUUAAUUGAAGGUACCUGGUGAAUAAGCCACGGCUAACUACGUGCCAGCAGCCGCGGUAAUAC
RNAcentral lists this ribosomal RNA (500 nucleotides) under uncultured bacterium. Its description in RNAcentral is "bacterial SSU rRNA". It matches the Rfam family "Bacterial small subunit ribosomal RNA", at positions 28 to 526 of the family's 1533-position model. The record is from RNAcentral.